Non-coding RNA from Gongylonema pulchrum, 71 nucleotides. The record is from Rfam. NCBI's taxonomy places the organism in Eukaryota, Metazoa, Nematoda, Chromadorea, Rhabditida, Gongylonematidae.
GGACCGGUGGUGUAGUGGUAACGCAUUGCGCCCGAACGUGAAGGGGAAUGGUUCGAUUCCGUCCUGGUCCA